AUGAUAGGUGUUUUUUGGAAUAUUAGAGGACUCAACAGUCCUACUAAGACAGACAAACUAAAAGAGCUCAUUAGAGCCAACAACCCUGAUUUUAUUUGUAUUUCUGAAACUAAGAAGGAGGAAUUUUCUAUCCUCCAAAUUGAGAAGUUUGACCCUGGGUCCAAUUUCCACUGGAAAUGGCUGCCUGCUAUAACUGCGGGAGGGGUCUUACUAGGGUGCAAUAUAGAUACAUUGGACAUUAUCCAAUGUGAUCUACAUAAAUUUUGCAUCUCCUGCCUGGUUAGAAACAAACAAGAUAACUUUGUUUGGAAGCUCAUUACUGUGUAUGGCUCUACUUAUGACCAGUUUAAGCUGGAAUUUAUUAAUGAACUCCACUACAUUCUAGCUAGUUGGGCUGGUCCCACUCUAGUUGGUGGAGACUUCAAUUUAAUUAGAGAGGCUAGUGAGAAAAGCUCUGGUGCUAUUAAUCAACAUCGGGCUGACCUCUUUAAUGAUUGGAUUAACAAAUUUGGUUUGAUUGAGUUAAAAAUUAAUGGUAGGAAGUUUACUUGGGGCAACAAUCAGGACAAUCUGGUAAUGGCUACUAUUGACAGAGUUUUCAUGUCCACUGAUUGGGCCUCUGAAUUCCCUGGGGUUCAUCUCAAAGCUUUGCCUAGAUUGGGGGGUGACCACACCCCUCUGGUCCUCAAUACCUGUGCCUUCCACAUCCCCAAGAAUAAACAAUUUAGAUUUGAAAAAUGGUGUCUGGAAGUGGAAGGCUUUAGGGAGGUUGUCACUAAAGCCUGGACUGCCAAAUGCCCUUUCACUAAGACUAUAGACAUUUGGCAGUUCAAAAUUAGAAACUCCAGGAAAGCCAUUAAAGGGUGGAUGGCCAACUAUGAGGCUAACCAAAACAGGCAUAAGCAAGCUUUGGUGGCAGAGUAUAACUGCCUAGAUAUUCUUUCUGAAACUAACCCUCCUUCCGCCAACACUAAUAGCAGAAUUAAAAAAAUUGCAGGGGAUUUGGAGGAUAUCUGGAGAAAAUAA
Molecule: ribosomal RNA, 1026 nt
Filed under: Triticum aestivum (bread wheat)
Lineage: Eukaryota; Viridiplantae; Streptophyta; Magnoliopsida; Poales; Poaceae
Description: partial small subunit ribosomal RNA
Source: RNAcentral